Ribozyme from Gopherus agassizii (Agassiz's desert tortoise), 324 nucleotides. It matches the Rfam family "Nuclear RNase P". Rfam says of the family: Ribonuclease P (RNase P) is a ubiquitous endoribonuclease, found in archaea, bacteria and eukarya as well as chloroplasts and mitochondria. Its best characterised activity is the generation of mature 5'-ends of tRNAs by cleaving the 5'-leader elements of precursor-tRNAs. The record is from Ensembl. NCBI's taxonomy places the organism in Eukaryota, Metazoa, Chordata, Testudines, Testudinidae.
GUCAGAGGGAAGCUCACCACUGAGGUCACAUGCAGGGUGCUUGUCACUCGGUGCCCAAUACCUCUGGGAAGGUCUGAGACAAGAGCCAUUAGCUGUCCUUGCAGGGCAUCACCUGCUGCAGGUGGAUGAGUUACCAGCUAUGUUGGGCCCUGGGUGUGGGGCAAAUUGGGCAGGAGAAGCUAGAGAAAUCUCCCUAGUAGAUGCCUGGCCCCCUCCCAUGGGUUUGGGACAGACUCAUGGCUGGCAGUGCUGAGUUCAAUGGGAUGAGGUGAGACACCCUCCUCCGGGGCCUCAUAACCCAAUUCAGACUACUCUCCCUCUGAC